This 634-nucleotide ribosomal RNA is filed under the name uncultured bacterium. Its description in RNAcentral is "bacterial SSU rRNA". It matches the Rfam family "Bacterial small subunit ribosomal RNA", at positions 171 to 822 of the family's 1533-position model. The record is from RNAcentral.
GCAUAAGCGCAUACAGCCGCAUGGCGCAGUGUGAAAAACUCCGGUGGUAUGGGAUGGAUCCGCGUCUGAUUAGCUAGUUGGCGGGGUAACGGCCCACCAAGGCAGCGAUCAGUAGCCGACCUGAGAGGGUGGCCGGCCACAUUGGGACUGAGACACGGCCCAAACUCCUACGGGAGGCAGCAGUGGGGAAUAUUGCACAAUGGGGGAAACCCUGAUGCAGCAACGCCGCGUGAGUGAAGAAGUAUUUCGGUAUGUAAAGCUCUAUCAGCAGGGAAGAAGAAGGACGGUACCUGACUAAGAAGCCCCGGCUAACUACGUGCCAGCAGCCGCGGUAAUACGUAGGGGGCGAGCGUUAUCCGGAUUUACUGGGUGUAAAGGGAGCGUAGACGGUUUUUCAAGUCUGAAGUGAAAGCCCGCGGCUCAACUGCGGAACGGCUUUGGAAACUGAGGGACUAGAGUGCUGGAGGGGCAGGCGGAAUUCCUGGUGUAGCGGUGAAAUGCGUAGAUAUCAGGAGGAACACCGGUGGCGAAGGCGGCCUGCUGGACAGUAACUGACGUUGAGGCUCGAAAGCGUGGGGAGCAAACAGGAUUAGAUACCCUGGUAGUCCACGCUGUAAACGAUGAAUACUAGGUG